Long non-coding RNA from Marmota flaviventris (yellow-bellied marmot), 855 nucleotides. RefSeq lists it as uncharacterized. The record is from RefSeq and is a predicted model, not a curated record. NCBI's taxonomy places the organism in Eukaryota, Metazoa, Chordata, Mammalia, Rodentia, Sciuridae.
UCCGGGCGCCGUUCACCUCCUGAAAUAAACGCAACGUGCAAAUGCGCACCAUCCGCUUUCUGGGAUUGAUAACAAACACAGAAGGUCGCCUAACAGCCUUAAUCACUUCUGCCUGUGCCGUUUUCGGGCGAGGACACGCGGGGAACGAAGUUGAUCAUCCUUCGAACUUGCCGCAGUUCCGGGAUGUGCCCCCUUCUGGCGCAGCUUGUCCUCCCGCGGUUCGCCCUCCCCACACGCUGUUUGGGAAAUCUCGACACUUAAUUUAUAACUUUAUUAAUUUUUGUAUUCGGGAGGGCGGAGUCCCGUUCCGAAGCCAAGUUUAUGCAAAUAAGGACGGUCACUGAACGACCCCGGGGUUUGAAAUGCAAAGGGAAGGGGGCCACGCCCGGCGUCCGCCCAGGCAGCUGGAAUUCCCUGUUCUUUCUGAUCACUCGAAAAUGCAAUGGCUGCGCUCGCAGGUUAAAGAUACCUGCAGGUAUUUGUGGAUGUAGUAAUCAAGUCUCAAUUCCAGCUCUUCCGGGGACAUGAUUCCUAAAUAUCCAACCCCAGUGGUCUUUAUCUGGCCCAGCUGCUUCUGAUGUGGAGAGGAAUGUAGCACAUCAAGUGUGUGAACACUGCCUCCAUUGUAUCCAGACCAGCGAUGGAAGCCGGGAUAAUUGGCAUGUAACCUUCUCUAUUAACAGUGCAGACAGAUAUGUGAAUUCGCUGAAUCCCUUCGACAUAUGCCAUGCAUUAGCUAAAGGGGCUUAGAGUUCUCUUGACAUCUUGGUGAUUCACUGAUAAUUAGGCUUUCGGACUUGAUAACUUUGUGGGGAAAAUCAAUAAAUAAUAGUGAAGUUCAGUACUUCCUCUGAA